Molecule: long non-coding RNA, 207 nt
Filed under: Eucalyptus grandis
Lineage: Eukaryota; Viridiplantae; Streptophyta; Magnoliopsida; Myrtales; Myrtaceae
Description: long non-coding RNA (EGRA_LNC001611)
Source: RNAcentral
GGGACCAGCGCGGCUUCAGCAGAAGACGGCGAAGGAGAUAGGCACUGGAGCAGCAGCACAACGAACAGGGCUGGUGACGUCGCGGUGCAGUGAACGGCGGUAAUCGUGUGGAGAUGAUGACCGGCAGGUGGUGGAGCGGCGGCUUUGGGCGCGGGAGCUCGCGGACGAGAGUUGCAGAGGGGCGGCAGGGCGCUGCACGAAGGAGAA